UGCGUAGGCGGUGCGGUAAGUCUUCUGUGAAAUCUCCGGGCUUAACUCGGAGCCUGCAGAGGAAACUGCCGUGCUGGAGUAUGGGAGAGGUGAGUGGAAUUCCCGGUGUAGCGGUGAAAUGCGUAGAUAUUGGGAGGAACACCUGUGGCGAAAGCGGCUCACUGGACCAUUACUGACGCUGAUGCACGAAAGCUAGGGGAGCAAACAGGAUUAGAUACCCUGGUAGUCCUAGCCCUAAACGAUGAUCGCUUGGUGUGACAGGUACCCAAUCCUGUCGUGCCGGAGCUAACGCGUUAAGCGAUCCGCCUGGGGAGUACGGUCGCAAGGCUGAA
Molecule: ribosomal RNA, 332 nt
Filed under: uncultured bacterium
Lineage: Bacteria
Description: bacterial SSU rRNA
Rfam family: Bacterial small subunit ribosomal RNA
Source: RNAcentral